GCAGAGUUCUCGGAGUCACGAAGAGUUGAUCCUGGCUCAGGAUGAACGCUGGCGGCGUGCCUAAUACAUGCAAGUCGAACGCUUUGUGGUUCAACUGAUUUGAAGAGCUUGCUCAGAUAUGACGAUGGACAUUGCAAAGAGUGGCGAACGGGUGAGUAACACGUGGGAAACCUACCUCUUAGCAGGGGAUAACAUUUGGAAACAGAUGCUAAUACCGUAUAACAAUAGCAACCGCAUGGUUGCUACUUAAAAGAUGGUUCUGCUAUCACUAAGAGAUGGUCCCGCGGUGCAUUAGUUAGUUGGUGAGGUAAUGGCUCACCAAGACGAUGAUGCAUAGCCGAGUUGAGAGACUGAUCGGCCACAAUGGGACUGAGACACGGCCCAUACUCCUACGGGAGGCAGCAGUAGGGAAUCUUCCACAAUGGGCGAAAGCCUGAUGGAGCAACGCCGCGUGUGUGAUGAAGGGUUUCGGCUCGUAAAACACUAUUGUAAGAGAAGAAUGACAUUGAGAGUAACUGUUCAAUGUGUGACGGUAUCUUACCAGAAAGGAACGGCUAAAUACGUGCCAGCAGCCGCGGUAAUACGUAUGUUCCAAGCGUUAUCCGGAUUUAUUGGGCGUAAAGCGAGCGCAGACGGUUAUUUAAGUCUGAAGUGAAAGCCCUCAGCUCAACUGAGGAAUUGCUUUGGAAACUGGAUGACUUGAGUGCAGUAGAGGAAAGUGGAACUCCAUGUGUAGCGGUGAAAUGCGUAGAUAUAUGGAAGAACACCAGUGGCGAAGGCGGCUUUCUGGACUGUAACUGACGUUGAGGCUCGAAAGUGUGGGUAGCAAACAGGAUUAGAUACCCUGGUAGUCCACACCGUAAACGAUGAGUGCUAGGUGUUUGAGGGUUUCCGCCCUUAAGUGCCGCAGCUAACGCAUUAAGCACUCCGCCUGGGGAGUACGACCGCAAGGUUGAAACUCAAAGGAAUUGACGGGGACCCGCACAAGCGGUGGAGCAUGUGGUUUAAUUCGAAGCAACGCGAAGAACCUUACCAGGUCUUGACAUCCCUUGACAACUCCAGAGAUGGAGCGUUCCCUUCGGGGACAAGGUGACAGGUGGUGCAUGGUUGUCGUCAGCUCGUGUCGUGAGAUGUUGGGUUAAGUCCCGCAACGAGCGCAACCCUUAUUACUAGUUGCCAGCAUUUAGUUGGGCACUCUAGUGAGACUGCCGGUGACAAACCGGAGGAAGGUGGGGAUGACGUCAAAUCAUCAUGCCCCUUAUGACCUGGGCUACACACGUGCUACAAUGGCGUAUACAACGAGUUGCCAACCCGCGAGGGUGAGCUAAUCUCUUAAAGUACGUCUCAGUUCGGAUUGUAGGCUGCAACUCGCCUACAUGAAGUCGGAAUCGCUAGUAAUCGCGGAUCAGCACGCCGCGGUGAAUACGUUCCCGGGUCUUGUACACACCGCCCGCCACACCAUGAGAGUUUGUAACACCCAAAGCCGGUGGGGUAACCUUCGGGAGCCAGCCGUCUAAGGUGGGACAGAUGAUUAGGGUGAAGUCGUAACAAGGUAGCCGUAGUCCUGUGUGAAGUGAUCCGCUAAUCGUCGACC
RNAcentral lists this ribosomal RNA (1594 nucleotides) under Weissella cibaria. RNAcentral describes it as "bacterial SSU rRNA". It matches the Rfam family "Bacterial small subunit ribosomal RNA". Lineage: Bacteria; Bacillati; Bacillota; Bacilli; Lactobacillales; Lactobacillaceae. The record is from RNAcentral.